This 399-nucleotide ribosomal RNA is filed under the name Triticum aestivum (bread wheat). RNAcentral's name for it is "partial small subunit ribosomal RNA". Lineage: Eukaryota; Viridiplantae; Streptophyta; Magnoliopsida; Poales; Poaceae. The record is from RNAcentral.
AUGGAACCAAUUACUUGGAGAGAAGCCACCGGAUCUGCUCGGGAAAUGCUGGAAGAGGAGCAGAUCCGGAGGGAGGUGGAGGUCGCAGGACGGAGAUCACCACCCGAGGCGUCGCUGCUGGUGCGAGAGAGAAGAAGAGGCGACCGUGAUGAGGCUGAGCCCGCCGCUGCUCACGAGGGAGGUUGCAGGAAGGAGAGGACGUGCUCGCGCCGGAGGGAGGCGGAGGACGUGCUCCCGACGUCGGGAGGUGUGGAUUUGACGCCCAGGGAAGUGAGGGGGAUAGGGCUGAAAACCCCCGCCGGCGGAGACAACCAAAUAUGCGUCGGCGGCCUGACCGGGGGCCUCAAUGCUUUCAGCAGUGGAGAAAGUGUAGCUGGAUCAUGGCGUGCGGGCGUUUAA